Molecule: ribosomal RNA, 175 nt
Filed under: uncultured bacterium
Lineage: Bacteria
Description: partial 16S ribosomal RNA
Rfam family: Bacterial small subunit ribosomal RNA
Source: RNAcentral
AUCCUACGGGAGGCAGCAGUGGGGAAUAUUGGUCAAUGGGGGGAACCCUGAACCAGCAACGCCGCGUGAAGGAAGAAGGCCUUCGGGUUGUAAACUUCUUUGACAGGGGACGAAGGAUGACGGUACCCUGAAAACAAGCCACGGCUAACUACGUGCCAGCAGCCGCGGUAAUAAU